GGGUGAGUAGAGCGUAGGAAUUUAUCCAUAAGUGGGGGAUAACUUGGGGAAACCCAAGCUAAUACCGCAUAGGCCUAAGGGUGAAAGGGGGGGAUCAAUUUAUUGGCCUCUCGCUGAUGGGUGAGCCUUCGUACGAUUAGUUUGUUGGUGGGGUAAAGGCCUACCAAGGCGAUGAUCGUUAGCUGGUCUGAGAGGAUGGUCAGCCACACUGGGACUGAGACACGGCCCAGACUCC
RNAcentral lists this ribosomal RNA (235 nucleotides) under uncultured bacterium. RNAcentral describes it as "partial 16S ribosomal RNA". It matches the Rfam family "Bacterial small subunit ribosomal RNA", at positions 104 to 339 of the family's 1533-position model. The record is from RNAcentral.